This 326-nucleotide ribosomal RNA is filed under the name uncultured bacterium. Its description in RNAcentral is "bacterial SSU rRNA". It matches the Rfam family "Bacterial small subunit ribosomal RNA", at positions 32 to 339 of the family's 1533-position model. The record is from RNAcentral.
AAUCAACGCUGGCGGCGUGCCUCAGACAUGCAAGUCGAACGCGAAAGUCCCCUUCGGGGGACAAGUAGAGUGGCGCACGGGUGAGUAACACGUAGGUAAUCUACCUUUGGAUGGGGAAUAACAACCGGAAACGUUGCUAAUACCGCAUAAUGCAGCGGCACCUAAUGGUGACAGUUGUUAAAAGCGGGGGAUCGAAAGACCUCGCGUCUAAAGAGGAGCCUGCGGCGGAUUAGCUAGUUGGAAGGUAAUGGCUUACCAAGGCUACGAUCGUAACCGGCCUGANAGGGCGGUCGGUCACACUGACACUGACAUACGGGUCAGACUCC